UUGCUUCACCAGCACAUAUGCCAAAAUUGGAACAAUACAGAGAAACUGAGAAUGGCUCUUGUUCAGAAAUGACAUGCAAAUUUGUGAAAUGUUAAAAAAAAAA
This 103-nucleotide small nuclear RNA is filed under the name Aotus nancymaae (Ma's night monkey). Lineage: Eukaryota; Metazoa; Chordata; Mammalia; Primates; Aotidae. The record is from RNAcentral.